GGGGCUGUAGCUCACUUUGGUAGAGCAUCGUGUUUGCAUCGCGAGGGUAGUCGGUUCGAUUCCGUCCAGCUCCACAA
RNAcentral lists this transfer RNA (77 nucleotides) under Hydrotalea sp. AMD. RNAcentral's name for it is "tRNA-Ala". It matches the Rfam family "tRNA". From Rfam's summary of the family: Transfer RNA (tRNA) molecules are approximately 80 nucleotides in length. Their secondary structure includes four short double-helical elements and three loops (D, anti-codon, and T loops). Further hydrogen bonds mediate the characteristic L-shaped molecular structure. tRNAs have two regions of fundamental functional importance: the anti-codon, which is responsible for specific mRNA codon recognition, and the 3' end, to which the tRNAs corresponding amino acid is attached (by aminoacyl-tRNA synthetases). tRNAs cope with the degeneracy of the genetic code in two manners: having more than one tRNA (with a specific anti-codon) for a particular amino acid; and 'wobble' base-pairing, i.e. permitting non-standard base-pairing at the 3rd anti-codon position. The record is from RNAcentral. Lineage: Bacteria; Pseudomonadati; Bacteroidota; Chitinophagia; Chitinophagales; Chitinophagaceae.